GGAGGGGUCUCCCGGCUCACAACCCCACCGCCACCGAGAGCCGCGGGAAUAGAAACGCCCGUCUCUGCCUGUUUUGUUGGCCUGGUGGCCCGUGGCGGGCGGGCGGCUCCUCUGAGGUGCCUGUGAGGGAAUGUGUUUGUGGCCGUCACUAUAGGAGUUGAACCUGGGGUUAUACUUGACUCACCGGAAACUGGACAAUGGGUGAAAGACAGGUUUGAAGCCAGGCGCCUCAGCCGGGAAGCCGGGUGGCAGCGUGUUACACCGGAGGGACAGAGCGGGGAGGCGACGGAGUCGGAGCCCGAGUUGGUAGAAUUGGAAGCAGGUCGAUGGGCAUCAAAGGAGAAGAGCGGGAAGGCUGUGCCCUGCCCCUUCCCUCCUGUCUCCGGAGGCACCGGUGUGGUGUUUGGAAGAGAGAAGAGCAGCAGAAGCCACGGCUCUCCGGCGCCCUCGCCUCGCCCCGCUGACGCCCCUCACUCCUGAGUCACCUUCCGGACCUCGCCCCGCUGGGGGCAGCCGGCUGCUGAGAAUGUAGGGAAACCAUCCAUCAUCUUCUCAGUCUGUGUGGCUAAAGACGGGUGAUCCUAUCCUUUGGCUCCAGAAAGAGUCCAUCAAAGUCUCAAAAACUGUUUCAGAGGUGGCCAUGUGGCCGUAUCUGGAACAAUGAGAGCUCUCCAGGACUUUGCUCUCUAGAACUUUGCUCAGAUGACUGGGGAUGAGGGCCCUGGAGCGCCCCCCAUGGGUUACAGUAGCCAUUUACCAUCAUGAGGAGAGCAGUGAAUAUAGCUGUGACCUGGCAGACCCUCUGAAAGGGACUUCAAGACCCAGAGGUCCACAGACCACACUUGGAGGACUGAAGCCCUCUGACACUGACUCGGCUGCACCUGAGAGUAUUUGGUGAUUCCCGAGGAAUGAUCAGCCUCCGAGAUGAUGACGACGGUGAUGCUGCUGCUGUUAAUUGAGUGCUGAAGGUGGGAAAACAGGUUUGCUGUGCCCAAGGCCGUACAGCUCAUACACUGGGAGCUGUGAACUCUGUCUCUCUGGGUCUCCUGAACAACCCGUAGGGGAAUAAAGGCAGCGGGUUGGUCGAGGGAGAAGUCGUGAAUUGUGAUGCAGUCACAACAGGAGUCUCCUUCGAUCCCAUG
Non-coding RNA from Vicugna pacos (alpaca), 1142 nucleotides. The record is from RefSeq and is a predicted model, not a curated record. Lineage: Eukaryota; Metazoa; Chordata; Mammalia; Artiodactyla; Camelidae.